GACGAACGCUGGCGGCGUGCUUAACACAUGCAAGUCGAACGGAAAGGCCCUGCUUUUGUGGGGUGCUCGAGUGGCGAACGGGUGAGUAACACGUGAGUAACCUGCCCUUGACUUUGGGAUAACUUCAGGAAACUGGGGCUAAUACCGGAUAGGAGCUCCUGCUGCAUGGUGGGGGUUGGAAAGUUUCGGCGGUUGGGGAUGGACUCGCGGCUUAUCAGCUUGUUGGUGGGGUAGUGGCUUACCAAGGCUUUGACGGGUAGCCGGCCUGAGAGGGUGACCGGCCACAUUGGGACUGAGAGACGGCCCAGACGCCUACGGGAGGCAGCGGUGGGGAAUAUUGCACAAUGGGCGGAAGCCUGAUGCAGCAACGCCGCGUGCGGGAUGACGGCCUUCGGGUUGUAAACCGCUUUCGCCUGUGACGAAGCGUGAGUGACGGUAAUGGGUAAAGAAGCACCGGCUAACUACGUG
RNAcentral lists this ribosomal RNA (468 nucleotides) under uncultured bacterium. Its description in RNAcentral is "partial 16S ribosomal RNA". It matches the Rfam family "Bacterial small subunit ribosomal RNA", at positions 28 to 507 of the family's 1533-position model. The record is from RNAcentral.